GUGAGAGAGAAUAGAGGGGUUGAUUUUGUGGGCCACAGUGAGGACUCUGGAUUACUCAGAGAGAUCAGGAGUCCUGUAGGUUUCUGACCUGACCUGACAUAUUUCAAAAGCAUCGUUCAAUCUGCUGUGUUAAAAAUAGACCACAGACAGACAAGGGCAACAGCAGGGUGACCAGCCGCGAGCCUCCUGCACUAACCCAGGUGAGAGGAAAUGGCGGCUCGGCCCAGGGUGGCAGCCUGGAGGUGGUGAGAAACGGCCGGGUUCUGGGUACACUCUGAAGGUGGAGCCAGCACACUUUCCUCUUGGGAGGAAUUCCUUGCAGGAAGAAGAAUCAAUCGCCAAGAGACAAUGGGAUUCCUUUCAACUCACCUUCUCUUCGCUCCAAAUUCCAGAGAUGAGACGAGAGACGGCUUCCGAGGCUGAUAGAGAUGGAUUUUGCCGGGAGAGUGCCAACGUCGCUCCUCCCGCCUCCCGUCGGCCCUCUGCCAAAGUCUUCCCAUCGGACAUCUGGCCCCAGCAGGGAGAAACAGGGACCAAGGCACUUAUUUUGGCUUUGACGUCAGCGAAGGAAGGCUGAGUAAAUUCAUCAUUAGUGCAAAUUAAAAUCCACCAAACCGUAUCUCUCUUCGUUACAUCGCCUGCAUUUCUAGAGCUGACAGAGGUCUCGCUUUCCUUUUGUUUUUGUUUUGCUCUGGAUUAAGGUGUGAUUUUUUUUUAAAAACAGUUAAUUGGAAGAUAAUAAUGCCAGCGAGCUUAUUGUUAAUUAUUUGUAUCUGUACUUAAUACUGAGAAGUGUGCUCUGUUCUCACGAGCUAAUAUUUGGCUUGUCAGAUGUUGUUAGUCGUUGUAAUUAAUGGAGCCCAUAUACAUUUACUGGAGCUGUGGGUAGAGUUAUAGGAACAGCGGGAGAUAUGAAAUUUCUCCACCACCCCGCCCUUAUCCCUAGAAAGAGAACUUUGGGGCGUCGAGUCCUUCUUGUGACAUUCAUUGGUUAUCCGUCUGUAAGACCCUCCAUAUCCUCUCUCUCGGCUCCCUGUUAUUUUCCUUUGUACCAUCAGGGCCAGCUGCAUUGCUUCUGGGGCCCAGUGAAAAACAAAAACAUGGAGGCCGGCCCGUGGCUGAGUGGCUAAGCUCGCGCGCACGCGCACUCUGCUGCAGGCAGCCCAGUGUUUCCUCUGUUCAAAUCCUGGGCGCGGACAUGGCACCACUCAUCCAGCCACGCUGAGGCGGCGUCCCUCAUGCCACAGCUAGAAAGACCCAC
Molecule: long non-coding RNA, 1261 nt
Filed under: Equus caballus (horse)
Lineage: Eukaryota; Metazoa; Chordata; Mammalia; Perissodactyla; Equidae
Description: lncRNA (ENSECAG00000036023.3)
Source: RNAcentral